Molecule: ribosomal RNA, 842 nt
Filed under: Lucanus klapperichi
Lineage: Eukaryota; Metazoa; Arthropoda; Insecta; Coleoptera; Lucanidae
Description: partial large subunit ribosomal RNA
Source: RNAcentral
AUAUUUUAAUGUGGAAGAAUUAUUUAUAAUUGGUUUUUUGUAAUUAUAUGUUAGUCGUUCUUUAUUAUAUCUGGUUUCUUGAGAAAUUAAUUUAAUUAACCAGAGCGGAAAUAUUUUUAUUUGGAAAAGAAAUUUUUGUGUUUGGAAUAUUCAGAGGGAUAAGCUUUUGAUUAGAUUUUUAUAACAGUGGAGGGUUUUGAAGUAGAGUAGGAUUAGAAGUUUCCAUUUUUAGUGUGUUUUAACUAGGCUUUAAAAAUAGGUGAUUUUUUUUUGUUUAUAUAUUUUAUUAAGAUGAAGGCCUGAAUUGGAAGGUUUUGUAAUAAUGAUAAGAUUAGUAGAAUGGAAUGUAAUAUGAUAAUACAGAGUUUAAUAUUAUUUUAAGGAAUUAGGCAAAUUUCUUUUCGCCUGUUUAAUAAAAACAUGGCUUUUCGAUAAUGAUUUAAGGUCAGGCCUGCCCAAUGAUAAUUUAAAUGGCUGCGGUAUAUUGACCGUGCAAAGGUAGCAUAAUCAUUAGUUUUUUUAUUGGAAGCUGGAAUGAAGGGUUUAACGAGAAAGAAGCUGUCUUGAUUUAAUUAUUUGAAUUUUAUAUUUAAGUGAGAAAGCUUAAAUGUAUUUGAGGGACGAGAAGACCCUAUAGAAUUUAAUAGUUCAGGUGUUUUGGUGGUUUAGUUUGGGGUAGCUUGGGUAUUCUGUAAUUAUUUUGUUGGGGUGAUAGGAAAAUUUGAUUAACUUUUCUUUUUAUUUAUCAUUAAUAGAUGAGUAGAUGAUCCAUUAGUAAUGAUUAUAAGAAUAAAUUACCUUAGGGAUAACAGCGURAUUGGUCUGGAGAGUUCAAAUCGAUA